CCUACGGGAGGCAGCAGUGGGGAAUUUUGGACAAUGGGCGCAAGCCUGAUCCAGCAAUGCCGCGUGAGUGAAGAAGGCCUUCGGGUUGUAAAGCUCUUUUGUCAGGGAAGAAACGGUGGGGGCUAAUAUCUCCUGCUAAUGACGGUACCUGAAGAAUAAGCACCGGCUAACUACGUGCCAGCAGCCGCGGUAAUACGUAGGGUGCAAGCGUUAAUCGGAAUUACUGGGCGUAAAGCGUGCGCAGGCGGUUUUGUAAGUUUGUCGUGAAAUCCCCGGGCUCAACCUGGGAAUGGCGAUGAAGACUGCAAGGCUAGAAUCUGGCAGAGGGGGGUAGAAUUCCACGUGUAGCAGUGAAAUGCGUAGAGAUGUGGAGGAACACCGAUGGCGAAGGCAGCCCCCUGGGUCAAGAUUGACGCUCAUGCACGAAAGCGUGGGGAGCAAACAGGAUUAGAUACCCUGGUAGUCCACGCCCUAAACGAUGUCUACUAGUUGUCGGGUUUUAAUUAACUUGGUAACGCAGCUAACGCGUGAAGUAGACCGCCUGGGGAGUACGGUCGCAAGAUUAAAACUCAAAAGUAGAAGUUACGACGGCGAGAGAGCGACGACGACGACGACGAGGAGGAGG
This 625-nucleotide ribosomal RNA is filed under the name uncultured bacterium. Its description in RNAcentral is "bacterial SSU rRNA". It matches the Rfam family "Bacterial small subunit ribosomal RNA", at positions 338 to 956 of the family's 1533-position model. The record is from RNAcentral.